AUUGAACGCUGGCGGAAUGCUUUACACAUGGAAGUCGAACGGCAGCACGGGUGCUUGCACCUGGUGGCGAGUGGCGAACGGGUGAGUAAUACAUCGGACCGUACCCUGACGUGGGGGAUAACGUAGCGAAAGCUACGCUAAUACAGCCUACGUCCUGAGGGUGAAAGCAGGGGAUCGUAAGAACUUGCGCGUUAGGAGCGGCCGGGGGCGGAUUAGCUAGUUGGUAGGGUAAAGGCCUAGCAAGGCGACGAUCCGUAGCGGGUCUGAGAGGACGACCCGCCACACUGGAACUGAGACACGGUCCAGACUCCUACGGGAGGCAGCAGUGGGGAAUUUUGGACAAGGGGCGAAAGCCUGAUCCAGCCAUUCCGCGUGCAGGAUGAAGGCCCUCGGGUUGUAAACUGCUUUUGUACAGAACGAAAAGGUUUCUACUAAUACUAGGAGCUCAUGACGGUACUGUAAGAAUAAGCACCGGCUAACUACGUGCCAGCCGCCGCGGUAA
Molecule: ribosomal RNA, 502 nt
Filed under: uncultured bacterium
Lineage: Bacteria
Description: partial 16S ribosomal RNA
Rfam family: Bacterial small subunit ribosomal RNA
Source: RNAcentral